UACGGGGGGAGCAAGCGUUGUUCGGAUUUACUGGGCGUAAAGCGCGCGCAGGCGGUCAGAGGCGUCGGUGCUCAAAGUCCACCGCUUAACGGUGGGAGGCGUGCCGAUACGCUCUGACUGGAGGGCGGGCGAGGGUGGUGGAAUUGCCGGUGUAGUGGUGAAAUGCGCAGAUAUCAGGAGGAACACCGAUGGCGAAGGCAGCCUCCUGGGCCAGCACUGACGCUCAUGCACGAAAGCGUGGGGAGCAAACAGG
RNAcentral lists this ribosomal RNA (253 nucleotides) under uncultured bacterium. Its description in RNAcentral is "partial 16S ribosomal RNA". It matches the Rfam family "Bacterial small subunit ribosomal RNA", at positions 524 to 776 of the family's 1533-position model. The record is from RNAcentral.